This 332-nucleotide unclassified non-coding RNA is filed under the name soil metagenome. Its description in RNAcentral is "partial contains 5.8S ribosomal RNA, internal transcribed spacer 2, and large subunit ribosomal RNA". The stretch from base 1 to 120 matches the Rfam family "5.8S ribosomal RNA", at positions 35 to 154 of the family's 154-position model. The record is from RNAcentral.
GAUGAAGAACGUAGCAAAAUGCGAUAAGUAAUGUGAAUUGCAGAAUUCAGUGAAUCAUCGAAUCUUUGAACGCACAUUGCGCCCGCUGGUAUUCCGGCGGGCAUGCCUGUCCGAGCGUCAUUUCAACCAUCAAGCCCCGGGCUUGUGUUGGGGACCUGCGUCCGACGCAGGCCCUGAAAACCAGUGGCGGGCUCGCUGUCCACACCGAGCGUAGUAACUAACCUCGCUAUGGAGUGGCGCGGGCGCCUGCCGUAAAACCCCCAAUUUCACAAGGUUGACCUCGGAUCAGGUAGGAAUACCCGCUGAACUUAAGCAUAUCAAUAAGCGGAGGA